GACGAACGCUGGCGGCGUGCUUAACACAUGCAAGUCGAACGCUGAAGCUCAGCUUUUGUUGGGUGGAUGAGUGGCGAACGGGUGAGUAACACGUGAGUAACCUGCCUCCUUCUUUGGGAUAACGCCCGGAAACGGGUGCUAAUACUGGAUAUUCACUGGUCUUCGCAUGGGGGUUGGUGGAAAGGGUUUUUCUGGUGGGGGAUGGGCUCGCGGCCUAUCAGCUUGUUGGUGGGGUGAUGGCCUACCAAGGCUUUGACGGGUAGCCGGCCUGAGAGGGUGACCGGUCACAUUGGGACUGAGAUACGGCCCAGACUCCUACGGGAGGCAGCAGUGGGGAAUAUUGCACAAUGGGCGCAAGCCUGAUGCAGCGACGCCGCGUGAGGGAUGGAGGCUUUCGGGUUGUGAACCUCUUUCGCUCAUGGUCAAGCCGCAACAAUGGUUGUGGUGAGGGUAGUGGGUAAAGAAGCGCCGGCUAACUACGUG
This 483-nucleotide ribosomal RNA is filed under the name uncultured bacterium. RNAcentral describes it as "partial 16S ribosomal RNA". It matches the Rfam family "Bacterial small subunit ribosomal RNA", at positions 28 to 507 of the family's 1533-position model. The record is from RNAcentral.